Molecule: non-coding RNA, 5386 nt
Organism: Phalacrocorax carbo (great cormorant)
Lineage: Eukaryota; Metazoa; Chordata; Aves; Suliformes; Phalacrocoracidae
Source: RefSeq, a predicted model, not a curated record
GCUGCCCUGCCUCUGCCAUUUAAAAUGCUGCAAGCUGGCUCAUUGCCUUGUUAAAACCUCAAUCCCAGCUAAGCCCCUCCAGAUGUCUCUUGAGUGAUGACUUUUCAUAUAUUAUGCAAAUGCAGCAUAAAGAGGCCGGCAGGUCAGGGCCGUCCGUGUUUAAUGAUCCAGAGAUGCUCUGAAGGGGAGCAGGGGUUUCAAAUCUGAACACUGUCUUGACUAAAGAUUUCUUCCCUUCUUUCUGUGCCUGUAAGCAGGACAUCCUGGGACUUGGUACCUCUGCCCCUGCAGAAUUAGAGGAGAAGGAGCAUGCAGGUGUGGUGGGUGGGAAGCAGGCAAGUGCACAGGUACGUGGGUGUGUUGGGAGUGGGAAGACGGCAUUAGAGCCCUCUGGGCUGUCUCUUCAGAUGCGCAGCAGGGCAGCAGCUUCAUUGUGUUGUGGGAGCUGAGCCUGGUGCUCAAGGCAGCGGCCUUGAGCAGCCUGGAGCAGCACCAGGGCCGUGCCGCACCAGGCUCUCCAGUUUGGAGGAUGCCACCUCACUCUUCUGUGGGAACGUGAGCCUGCUCCUGGGCCUGGCAGGUGAUGGGCAGAGCAGGUACUGUGGCCUCGCAGACAGGGGCUUCUGACCCUGUGAAACUUUUGGGGUGAAGCUUUGUCUACGAGGGCUCAGCUGGUGCGGUUUUGUCCCCACAGAGCAUGCUGAGUUGUUUUAAGGCCCAGCUGAGCUCUCCAUCACUUGCGAGCUCAGAGAUACAAUUGCAGCCAAGCUGUGGGACAGCACAAGGUCCUGGUGAAAGUAAGAGCUAUAGAAAGAGCCUUUCACAGUGCUCCCAGCAGAGCUGCCACAGCAGGCUGAAACCUACUUGCCCUGCAUAUGGCAGGGCCAGUGCUUUUUUUACUGGGGAUAGGCAUAAUUUUCUGCGUCUGCUCUUUCUAGCUUGCUGCUGCCAAUAUAUGACUGGUUUAAAGAGCAGGUUUUGAUUUAACAGAUCACUCGAGUGGGCUGGAUGAGGGAGCUCUCUCCAGGCAGCAAAGGGGGGAACCUUCUCCUGUCUGCAGGGAGUGUGUCUGCCCGGCACCCCAGAGCUGCUGCAGCCCUGCUGUGGCCACUGCUGCUGGGUGAGUCCUUGCCCACAGGAGCGGGAGCUGGGGCCACAGAGGCUGGCUGAGCCGCUCUGGGAUAUCUGCCAGGGUCACAGGGGUUAAGAGUUCAUGCGGAUCAGUCUGUCACCGUCAUUUUGGGGGGAUACCAGGGAAGGGCAAAGCACGAGGAUGAAGCCAUGCCAGCUGUUGUUUCUGACAGAGGGAUGGCAGCUGGGUAGUGCCAGAUGGCAGCUGCCAAGCUGGAGAGGGUGACUUUGACCUCCGCCUCGCCAGCAUGGAGCUGCCAUGCUCAUGUGUGCUUUUAGUCUUCAGCACUUGCAGGGGAGUCAAGGGGAAAAGGGAGAGGAAAGCUGCAAGGCAUUGUGCGAGCUGUGCUUCAGUAACAACUCUUUUGCCAACUAAAUUACCUGACUUUAGACCGGCUUUGAUGCACAGUUUAUAGAAAGCAGUCACUAAUCCACCAAGUCAAAUCGUGUUUCACCAGCACUUACUUGUGUCUUUUAAGAAUUGCAAAGGUUUCAUUUUCCUUGAUUUCAUGUCCUGUCUGUCGCUGGACCUUUAGGGCUUUAGGGGAUAGAGCAUGCUUUGAUUUUAAUGAAGCCUUUUCUUUUCAGAUGUCCUGGGCUCAGACGCUCUUUGGCAGUGAUAAGAGCUCAAGGGUUCUUCUGAAUGCAAGAAAAUAGCCGCAGUCCCUGGGGCACUGAGCUCAAGGGAGUGCUCCUCUGCAGGUGCACUGCUGGAGACUGGCCUUUGUCCCAGGCGGGGGGAGGCCUGGGAGGAGCAGGGCUACGGGCCACCUUUCCCAGUCUGGUGCCUGCUUCUUGCGUGAGGGCUGUAGACUGUUUCAAUUAAAGUCAUGACUGUUUGGUCCCAAGGUGCAUUAGGCCUCUCCCCACUGCCUGUGACUGACAGAAGAAUCAGUGCUGGAUUGCUAGGGGAGGGUUUGGACAGGGCGUAAAGGCUGAGACAAGGCUGGCUUGUCUGUGCAGGGGAGUAAGGCUGCAUGUGGCAGCCAGGCGAAGCAAAAUAAGCUUCCCUGCAAAGGAGAUUAAAAAUCUACCUGUCCCUCGCUGAGCUUGUGCUGGAACAGCUGUGUUCCAGUCUCCGUCCUCCCUCUGGAUCUCAUCCUUGCCGAUGAGGUCAGUGCAUGGCUUUCAGACCAUGGCAGGAGGCCCUGCCUGCUGUCUGUCAAGGCAAACGGUGGCUCGGCCACCUUGCUAACAAGGCCAGUGGGGAAUUAGCUGCCCUUUAGUGGUGGGAUCUUGGUGAUGCAGGAGAAGCCCUGGGUUUUAGUGGCAGCGGCGUGUUUCUGCGGGGGGGAAGUGUCCUACAGCAGUGCAAUGCACUGGCGCUGACGCAUCACUUGUGGACAACGUGCUUCAUAGCAUCAGUGCUAAGUGGCAACUGUAGUAGCUGUGAUCAACUCAGCAGCAGCUAGUCCUCUUCCAGAGAAAAACAGCUGCAAUAGCUUUUCCUUUGAAGUGUGGGACAAUAACAACAAAAAAGAUUUUUCUGAGUUGCUCUUGCUGCCAAGACAUGCAUCCCAAGCUUAUUUCCAGCUGUUCCAGACUUACUGACAUAAAAUAGGGCCUGGGACAGGCUCAGGACAUAGCUGGGAGACACCUAACAGACAGGGAAGCCACAUGCCUGGUCUUGCCAUCUUCAGAAAUACUUCACUGCAAGCCCAGCGUGUAGAAUGGUGAGUUGUAUUUUUACUUUUCUCCCUUUCUAAAGCAAAGGCAAACCUGUCCUCCGUAAAUCUUAGUGGAAGCAGGGCUUAAUGCUGACACUUCCUUGCUGGCUCUUAAAGGAUUAAUUCCUUAACAUUCAGAAGCCCUAAGGUUACAGGAAUUGCCUCAAACUGGAGCGUUAACAUGGUUCAUGGUGUUCUGCUUCGUGCUGUGAGACUAGAGAAACCAGCCGGCUCACCGUUCAGCAGGAGGCCAGCAGCAUGUGCUGGGGUUGGCAGGAUGCUCCCGGUUGUUUGGUGCUGCUUUGGAUGGGGGCAGCGAUGCUCCCAACAGACGGCUGUGCUGUGAGGGGUGUCCCGGGCUGGCCAGCCAUGUGGAAUCUCUGCCCCAGCACCCAGCCAGCAAACAGGUUCACAUUAUGGCUCUUCGUGGCAGGGGAAAGCCUGGCCAGAGGGGUUUCCUCCUGACGUGCCUUGCAUCUAUUGGUCAUCGCAUAUAGCCACAGAGAAUCGACUGUUAGCAAGGGGUGUCCUGGCCUGGACACUUGGCACUGCGCUGAAGGAAAAGUGUGCUGAAGGGAGGUGCUGCAAGGCAGUGUAGGAGAGGUCUCGUCCACGGCUGGUCACUGAUGAAUAUGUUGAACAGGACUGGACCCAGCACAGACCCCUGGGGAACACCACCAGUGACAGGCCUCCAGCCAGACUCUGCUCGGUUGAUCAUGACCCUCGGAGUGCUGAUCCUGAGCGAGUUCUGUGUCCACCUCACUGUCCCCUCCUCCAACCCACACUUCCUUAGCUUGCCUGUGAGGAUGCUGUGGGAGACAGUGUCAAACGCCUUACUGAAGUCGAGACAGACAACAUCCACUGCUCUCCCUUCGUCGACCCAGCCAGUCACGCCAGCACAGAAGGCUGUCAGUCAGGUUGGUUAAGCAUGGUCUUCCCUUGGUGAAGCCACGUUGACUGUUUCUGAUAACCUUCUUUUCCUCUACAUGCCUGGAGAUGCCCUCCAGGAUGACCUGCUCCAUCACCUUCCCGGGGACGGAGGUGAGGCUGACUGGCCUAGAGUUUCCCAGGUCCUUGGCAGGAUCCUGGCAGCCAACUCAGAGGGCAGAGGAGGCUGUCACCCACCACCCUCCACUCCCUCUGACCUUCCCUGCUUGUGGUGUUACUUUUCAAAUGAGCUCCAGGCAGGCUGGUGUCCAGGUCUGGGUCCGCGUGACAUCCACACCAACGUGUUCCCGGCAGGAGCCGUGUGGCUGGUGGCGCUCAGGGCAGCCUUGUCCCAGGGACCAGCCCUGCCGACAGCAACCACAGGAAUGCAUGCCAGGGCACGAGCUGACACAAGAAAUGGAGCCAGGAGAAACACUUCCUAUGCAUGUACCAAAAAUUGCGCCACUGCUCCACAAGGUCAACAACCAAACGGCCCUAACAGCUUCCAAGCCUGGUUACAUCUACACCUAAAAUGCAGUCACAGGGGAAGCCAGCCCACCGUUGCUUGCUAAGUCCAGGGUUCAGCACCAGUAUAACACAAUACUGUAAGUCUUUUCUUUAACGAUGGGGAACAACUGAUCUCUGCUGGAGUUCAGGAACACGGCAUCGCUUGUUCAUACAGCAUCUCAGCCGCGAGUAUCUCAGCCUUGCAUAUAAAGAAACUGAGGCCGGGCAGUGACCCUCCCCGAGUCAUACACUAGCAGAAAAGGGCUGAUGUCCUGGAACAGUAUGUUAGAAUCCGGGGAAGGGGCUUAUAUGGCAGCACAGGUCCAGUUUCUGUUCAGUAAUACAUACAUUUCCCGUCCAGACUUGAUGUACCUGGUUCUGCCAUAAUCUAUGGACCCUUGAUGUGAGUGAGCUGGUUUCCUUCUACUAGACCAAGUACAUUUAUAGAAGCACUAACUGAACAAGUCUUCGCAGCUAAAGCAAGAAACAGUCAACAAGAAAUGCAGCCUUUCAGCUUCUGGCCAUUCAAACAGGGGCCAUCAGCGUGUAAAGGAGCAGCAGCAUCUGCAGGAGGUGGAAAGCCUGAGUUUCCUCUCCCUUCUGUUCAUCUCCUCUGAGCUGUCGUAGCUGCUGCUUUGGCUUCCCUCUCUGAGCCUGGAACGUGUGGGAGCAGGGAUUCAGGGAUCCCUUUGUGUGGAACUGAUGCAGAUAGGACUCACUUUUCAUGCCCUGGCUUGCUCCCUCCCCUCUUUCCACGUUAAAAAGAAAGCCACAGCGAUUGCCUUCGUAUGCACAGAAGAUAAAGCUGGCCCCUGUAACAGCGCUGCCCUUCUCUAACAAGGACUGGGGCUUGUCACUAGCGAGGAGAACUACUGAAAUUAUGAAUAACGAGGAGAACUACUGAAAUUACAGAACACUUAAGUUCCCUUUUCAUUGUUGACUCCUGAGAGUUAAGUUAAGGACAAUUCCUAAUCUCUGAACUUUAGCAGGAAUGCUUCAUUUUGCUGACAGUAACUGCUACAACAGAAGAGCCUAACAGAAAAGCAGAUCAGGAAAUGUGGCUAAUCUUCUUUGGUCUCUGAGAUGAAAUGACUGAUGAUUGAGUUGCUUUUUGUUUCUUUUUAAACUGCUUAACAAGGAAUUUCUUACUUGGA